GCAGAACACUAUAUUCAUAAUAAAUU
RNAcentral lists this non-coding RNA (26 nucleotides) under Cricetulus griseus (Chinese hamster). The record is from RNAcentral. Lineage: Eukaryota; Metazoa; Chordata; Mammalia; Rodentia; Cricetidae.